Molecule: unclassified non-coding RNA, 385 nt
Filed under: soil metagenome
Description: partial contains 5.8S ribosomal RNA, internal transcribed spacer 2, and large subunit ribosomal RNA
Rfam family: 5.8S ribosomal RNA (bases 1-120)
Source: RNAcentral
GAUGAAGAACGUAGCGAAAUGCGAUAAGUAAUGUGAAUUGCAGAAUUCAGUGAAUCAUCGAAUCUUUGAACGCACCUUGCGCUCCUUGGUAUUCCGAGGAGCAUGCCUGUUUGAGUGUCAUUAAAUUCUCAACCUCAUCAGUUUUGUUAUGAAGCUGUGUGAGGCUUGGAUGUGGGGGUUUGUGCAGGCUGCCUCAGUGCGGUCUGCUCCCCUGAAAUGUAUUAGCGAGUUCCAACUGGGCUCCGUCUAUUGGUGUGAUAAUUAUCUACGCCGUGGAUUGGGCUUAGACUUGCUACUAACCGUCCGCAAGGACAAUCUUUUGACAAUUUGACCUCAAAUCAGGUAGGACUACCCGCUGAACUUAAGCAUAUCAAUAAGCGGAGGA